CCAUGUUCCGUUCCUAAGAACCGUUCAGCCCCUUGGGGAAGACGCUGCCGGGGACAGCUGGGGGGCUGGCCACCCAGGCACCGAGACCAUAGGGCGCUCCUCGCUACCUCCCCAGUGGCGAAUACUACUUGAAGAGAACAGGGAAUGUAACUUGGUGAAUAACACGUGCCAAUGCCCGGCCCAUCGCUAGUCCUCCAGAAAUACCCGCCAGCCAGCCAGUCACCCGGACAGACAAAGGCGCACAUCUCUUUAUGUCAUAGGCUGGCUUUGAGGACGAUUGGGAAAGAAAAUAUUACAUAAACCCUGGGGUGAGCAAGGAUCUACCAGCGCCCUCCCCACGAGGCCAGUGAGGUCAUCCUGAGCUGAAGGAUUCUUCGGUUGAGAACUGCCAAAGUUCUUCUGGGACCUGGUGUGUCUUCCCCCCUGUGUGGGAAGCCAUGCCCCCCAUGUGCCCAGUGCCUCCCCCAAAUUGGAUUUCAACACUUCCCUGGAAAACAAGCUGAAAAGGAAAAACAUAAGGCAUUUCUCCUACUUCCUUUAAAGAAUUCACUUCAGAAUGAAUUCCAUAAGCAGCACCUGACAGCCUGAUAGAACGAGACCAGUCUUCACUGGAGGGGCUAAUCCUGCCUUUUGCCAAGACAGAUGAAGGAUGGUGGCUUUUUAGGCCUUUCUUCAACCUGUAUUUAAGUAAUUAAUUAUAUGUGUCAGGCACCAGGCUAUGCACGGGGUGUAAAUCAGCAAGACUAGGCUUCCAGGUAAGUGAAUUUGUUGUGAAUGCCUUUUUAUAUCCAGGUCUUGAAGGGUGAAUAAACACACUAGCCAACAUCCAGCAUGUGAUCUGGAAACCCACCAUUUGUCAGCCUACUCAUUUCUUACUCUAGGCUUAGGAGGGAGCGCCCAACACAGCCUGAUCCUCAUGGUACCCUGGAGUCUAGCACUGUACCUGCAUCCGGAGCAGAACCAGUCAGAAUCCUUCCCCAAGACUGAUGUCAGACUCAGGAGACAGGCCUCCCUUACAUGGCCAAGCCUUUGGAGCUGGGACGUCACAGGUCUAGCGCUGUGAAAAGCCACUUUCCCCAGCUCCAUGGGGUGGGUUGCGGUCUGAUAAAGUGGGUGAGAAUAUGGCCAGUCUAGCUGGAGAGGCCAAGCAACUUCCCUGAACCCUGGUCUCUGCCUGAAGCCAGGACCAGCCCCACACUUGUCCCAGCUACACAGGACAAUGAUGUCAGUCUAUUUUCUGCUAGUUGAGCUGGUUUCCUGGCACUUGCAUGGGGAGUCCUUUGUCCUGCAUGUCCUGUGUGAGGAUGAAAGCGGGAGGGGUGGAGGAGAUGGAGAGAGGAAGUGGGAUGGGCUUGGAGACUUCUCUUGGUGCCAACUGCUGCAAAAGCUCAAAAACUCUGCUCAACAGAGAGAGCAACUGGAGAAAGAUGGAAGGGACCAGCCAGGGUCCCCAUGGGGCUGUCCGCAAAUGAUAGCCCUGGUCCCAAGGGGAAGUCCAGGACACAGAGGUGGGACUCAUUGGCAGGGAUGCCUGGAGGAAAUGACCUGGGACAGGUGUUGUGGAAGACCUGCCUUCUUCCCCUUCUUAUUCUUGGAGAGUUGCCAAGGAAACUCUGGGUGUUUAUCUUGAUAAGAAAAAAAGAAACAGGGGCACCUGGGUGGCUCAGUCAGUUAAGUGUCUGCUUUUGGCUCAGGUAAUGAUCUCAGGGUUCUGGGAUCGAGCCCCACAUCAGGCUUCGGUGCUCAGCGGGAGUCUGCUUCUCCCUCUGCCCCUCCUCACCUCAUGCUCUCUCUCUCUCUCCCAAAUAAACAAAAUCUUUAAAAAAAAAAAAGAAAUAAAGAAAGAAAAAGAAAAGAAAAUACAUCCUGCAGCUCCAAGGGGAGAAAAGGCCAUCAAAGCUUGCUCUGUCCAAAGGCCAACUGGUGGACAUUCAAUGGCUGAUGGACAGUGGUCAGCUGGGGCCAGGUCACCUUGUCCACCGAACACGCAUGUAAGGAAGGAAGAGAAGCGGGAGAUGGCAGAAAACACAAAUGUUGGGCGCCCCCACAUUAAUAGCCCGAGGUGGGAACCCAAAUGUCCACCAACAGAUCAUGAAUUGUUAAAAAGUGGUAUGUCCACUUAUUCAGCCAGAAAAAGGAAUUGGCAAUACCGAUAAAACAAGCACUGCAAAAACACCAGGCUGAGUCAAACAAGCUAGAGGCCCAGAGUCACAUAUUAUCUAAUUCUGCCCACGUGAAAUGUCCAGAACAGGGAAAUCCACAGAGAUAGGAUGCAGAUUGGCCGUGGCUGGGGGCUGGUCGGAAGGGGAAUGAGAAGGGACUAGCGACCGAGUGUGGGGUUUCCUUUCAGGGUGACGAAAAUGUUACAGGUGGUGGUUGCGCAACAUUGUGAAUAUGCUAAACGCCACUGACCUCACCACUUGAAAAUGGUCAAUUAUGUAUUAUGUGACUUUCACCUCAAUUUAAAUUUUUUUUUUUUUUAAAGGCAGAGCUUAAAAACAGGGCAACUCCAGGAAAGCCAAGGGGCAGGAGAGAGUCAGAGACCUCCCACAGCCCCUCCUGUUACUGCUUAAUUAGGACCUGUCCCAGAGCUCUUGCUCGUUGACUUAGAGAAGGCUCACCUCAAGUUCAAAGGCCGGGGCAGGCCCUUCAGGACAGCCUGAAGGCCUGGCAGCCGCCCCACACAGAAGCUCCCAGCAGCAGGGGAGAACAAGUCAAGGGCAAGGCACAAGGGCAGAGUGGGCAGAGCAGCUGAAGAGCUGCUGCUGCUAGGAGGUCUCAAAGGCAGACCUCCUGAGCAAGGGUCUGCCCAAGGCUAGUGAUCGGGAAGGGAGGGGACGCACCAAGAUUUCUUGCGCAGCCAGAUGACAGGGACCAGCAGGAAGCCCGGGGAAGCACAGGUGAGGACAACUGAA
Molecule: long non-coding RNA, 2915 nt
Organism: Mustela lutreola (European mink)
Lineage: Eukaryota; Metazoa; Chordata; Mammalia; Carnivora; Mustelidae
Exons: 3
Source: RefSeq, a predicted model, not a curated record